AUGCAGAUCUUUGUGAAGACCUUGACUGGCAGGAUCGUCACUCUUGAUGUUGAAAGUUCAGAUACUAUCGGCAAUGUGAAAGCUAAGAUUCAUCACAAGGAGGAUUUUCAACCAUACCAACAGUGUCUCAUAUUUUCUGGCAAGCGGCUGGAGGACGGCCGCACCUUGGCCGACUAUGGCAUCCAAAAGGGGGUUACCCUUCAUUCUGAACCCCGCUUCCCCGGGCCGAUGCAGAUCUUCGUCAAGAAUUUGGGAGGAAAGACUUUGACGUUUAAUGUUCAGAGCUCAGAUACCAUCCGCAGUGUCAAGGAGAAAAUUCAGCAGGUGGACGGUAUUGACCCGGCAAGCCAACGCCUCAUCUUUUCCGGGUGGCAGUUGGAGGAUAGCUUCACACUGGCAGAAUACAAUAUCCAGCAUGAAUCCACUUUUCAUCUUUGCCUCCGUCUUUAUUCAUGUGCUAAAUGUCCAGGAACCCAUCACUAG
Molecule: ribosomal RNA, 483 nt
Filed under: Triticum aestivum (bread wheat)
Lineage: Eukaryota; Viridiplantae; Streptophyta; Magnoliopsida; Poales; Poaceae
Description: partial small subunit ribosomal RNA
Source: RNAcentral